CCUANGGGGGGCUGCAGUAAGGAAUAUUGGUCAAUGGACGCAAGUCUGAACCAGCCAUGCCGCGUGAAGGAAGACGGCCCUACGGGUUGUAAACUUCUUUUGUACAGGAAAAAACCACCGGUCGUGAACCGGUGCUGAUGGUACUGUAAGAAUAAGCAUCGGCUAACUCCGUGCCAGCAGCCGCGGUAAUACGGAGGAUGCAAGCGUUAUCCGGAUUCAUUGGGUUUAAAGGGUGCGCAGGCGGAAUGAUAAGUCAGUGGUGAAAUCCUACGGCUCAACUGUAGAACUGCCAUUGAUACUGUCGUUCUUGAGUACACUUGGAGUGGGCGGAAUGUGUCAUGUAGCGGUGAAAUGCUUAGAUAUGACACAGAACACCGAUCGCGAAGGCAGCUCACUAAGUUGUAACUGACGCUCAGGCACGAAAGCGUGGGGAUCAAACAGGAUUAGAUACCCCANUANUC
This 461-nucleotide ribosomal RNA is filed under the name uncultured bacterium. Its description in RNAcentral is "bacterial SSU rRNA". It matches the Rfam family "Bacterial small subunit ribosomal RNA", at positions 338 to 795 of the family's 1533-position model. The record is from RNAcentral.